This 660-nucleotide ribosomal RNA is filed under the name uncultured bacterium. RNAcentral's name for it is "bacterial SSU rRNA". It matches the Rfam family "Bacterial small subunit ribosomal RNA", at positions 94 to 788 of the family's 1533-position model. The record is from RNAcentral.
AGUGGCGGACGGGUGAGUAACGCGUGAGAAUCUGCCUUGGGGUCGGGGACAACCACUGGAAACGGUGGCUAAUACCGGAUAAGCCGAUUGGUGAAAGAUUUAUUGCCCGAAGAGGAGCUCGCGUCUGAUUAGCUAGUUGGUGAGGUAAGAGCUCACCAAGGCAGCGAUCAGUAGCUGGUCUGAGAGGACGAUCAGCCACACUGGGACUGAGACACGGCCCAGACUCCUACGGGAGGCAGCAGUGGGGAAUUUUCCGCAAUGGGCGAAAGCCUGACGGAGCAAGACCGCGUGAGGGAGGAAGGCUCUUGGGUUGUAAACCUCUUUUCUCAGGGAAGAAGCUCCGACGGUACCUGAGGAAUCAGCCUCGGCUAACUCCGUGCCAGCAGCCGCGGUAAUACGGAGGAGGCAAGCGUUAUCCGGAAUUAUUGGGCGUAAAGCGUCCGCAGGUGGCGAUUCAAGUCUGCUGUCAAAGCACGGGGCUUAACUCCGUAAAGGCAGUGGAAACUGAAUAGCUAGAGUGCCGUAGGGGUAGAGGGAAUUCCCGGUGUAGCGGUGAAAUGCGUAGAGAUCGGGAAGAACAUCGGUGGCGAAAGCGCUCUACUGGACGGCAACUGACACUCAGAGACGAAAGCUAGGGGAGCCAAUGGGAUUAGAUACCCC